CCUACGGGUGGCAGCAGUGAGGAAUAUUGGUCAAUGGGCGGGACCCUGAACCAGCCAAGCCGCGUGAGGGAAGAAGUUACAGCGUAUCGUAAACCUCUUUUGUCAGGGAACUAAGGCGGGGACUAGUCCACGGAUGAGGGUACCUGAAGAAAAAGCAUCCGCUAACUACGUGCCAGCAGCCGCGGUAAUACGGAGGGUGCGAGCGUUAUCCGGAUUUACUGGGUGUAAAGGGAGCGCAGACGGCAGGACAAGUCUGGAGUGAAAGCCCGGGGCGUAACCCCGGCACUGCCUUGGAAACUGGGCGGCUGGAGUGCAGGAGAGGUAAGCGGAAUUCCUAGUGUAGCGGUGAAAUGCGUAGAUAUUAGGAGGAACACCGGUGGCGAAGGCGGCUUACUGGACUGUAACUGACGUUGAGGCUCGAAAGCGUGGGGAGCAAACAGGAUUAGAUACCCCUGUAGUC
This 460-nucleotide ribosomal RNA is filed under the name uncultured bacterium. RNAcentral's name for it is "partial 16S ribosomal RNA". It matches the Rfam family "Bacterial small subunit ribosomal RNA", at positions 338 to 795 of the family's 1533-position model. The record is from RNAcentral.